RNAcentral lists this ribosomal RNA (269 nucleotides) under uncultured beta proteobacterium. Its description in RNAcentral is "partial 16S ribosomal RNA". It matches the Rfam family "Bacterial small subunit ribosomal RNA", at positions 80 to 350 of the family's 1533-position model. Lineage: Bacteria; Pseudomonadati; Pseudomonadota; Betaproteobacteria. The record is from RNAcentral.
CAACCCUGUCGGCGAGUGGCGAACGGGGGAGAAAUACAUCGGAACGUGCCCUGUAGUGGGGGACAGCCCGGCGAAAGCCGGAUUAAUACCGCAUACGCUCUGCGGAGGAAAGCGGGGGAUCCUUCGGGACCUCGCGCUACAGGGGCGGCCGAUGGCAGAAGAGCCAGUUGGUGGGGUAAAGGCCUACCAAGGCGACGAUCUGUAGCUGGUCUGAGAGGACGACCAGCCACACUGGGACUGAGACACGGCCCAGACUCCUACGGGAGGCA